Molecule: ribosomal RNA, 119 nt
Organism: Macaca mulatta (Rhesus monkey)
Lineage: Eukaryota; Metazoa; Chordata; Mammalia; Primates; Cercopithecidae
Source: Ensembl
GUCUACAGCCAUACCAUCCUGAACGCGCCUGAUCUCAUCUGAUCUCGGAAGCUUAGCCGAGUUGCGCCUGUUUAGUACUUGGAUGGGAGACCACCUGGAAAUACUGGGCACUGUAGGCU